Molecule: long non-coding RNA, 7245 nt
Filed under: Homo sapiens (human)
Lineage: Eukaryota; Metazoa; Chordata; Mammalia; Primates; Hominidae
Description: HSALNT0032738
Source: RNAcentral
UCGGGGGAGGGUAUAAGGGAGCCCAGGGACACUGGGGCACCAGCUCGUUAACACGUGUGUAUGAAUGCCGGCUGUGCGCUUGGCAAAUCCUUAAUUACACAGGGAGAACUUCCUGAACCGGGAACUCAGUAUCGGUCCCUGAAAGGUUGGGUAAUGGCUUCUUCUUGCAUCUGGAAUCCAAGGGGACCAAUCUCUCUGGCUCCCCUGGGCUCUCAGAUUCUUCUAGAUGUCUUUGUCUUCUAAAAUUCUGGGAUCCCAAGGGAAGACACAUAGUUAAGGACACUCAGAAAUGCAUACCUUUCAACCCUACUAAUCAUCCUAAAACCUGUGCUUUCAACAUAUCACGUCCUUGAUCUGUAACCCUCAGGGGCACCCACGAUCUCCAAUGACUGGGAGUGAUGGCAUUUAAGUCUUUCCACCAUGCAGAAGUUUCUUCCCUCAUUCCCCAUGAAUUCUCUCCUGUAGCCAGCCUGGCCCCUCAUAACCCCUUGGAUAUACUGUAUCUUGAAUUCUCCAGCCUUUCUGCAGUUGCCUUCCUGGGACAUUCAUUCCCAUGUUCACAAUCUAGCCAAUUGUAUCCCUUCUCUAUUCAGUUCUAGCAUCAGUCAGUCAAUCAACAAGCAUUUAUUGAAAGUCCACUAUGUACAAGACAUGUUCUAGGCCCUGGUAAUACAUCAGAGACUGAGACAAAUACCUGUUCUUAAGGAUUUUAUAUUUUAAUGGGAGAAACAGAGUAGACUCAUGGCUCACGCCUAUAAUCCCAGGACUUUGGGAGGCCAAGGCAAGAGGAUCACUUGAGGCCAGGAGCUCAAAACCAGCCUGGGCAGCAAGUGUCUUCUUUUGCCUCUGCAAAAGAAAAUUAAAAAUAACAAAAAAAGGAAGCUAAACUAGAGUAUUGUGGUAGAGGGGUGUGUGUGUGUGCAUGUGGGUGCAUCCGUGUGUGUGGUAGGUUGAUGGGUGCUGUUUUAUUUAGCCAGGGAAGGUCUCUUUGAGGAGGUGGCAUUCGAGACCUUCUGGGUGGGAAGGAGGCAGCCAUGUGGUGAUCUGGGGAAGAGUGCUGCAAGCAGAAAGGCAAGUAAAAACAAAAGCCCUGAGGCAGAAAUGUGCUCCUUAUGCUUAAGAAACACCGUGAAGGCCAACGUGGUUGGAGCAAUGUGAGCAAGAAGAAUAGAGGGGCCUUGGGAACAUAGGUAGCUGAGUCCUCAUGGAUCAAGCCAGCAGGUUCUCUUCAACACCCCAGCCCUGGAGAGCCGCAGAUUGGACAACGGGCAGACUUUGUUGAACAGAUGAACAACUGUGGCUAAAUCUGUUUUGGAAAAAAAAAAAAAAAAGACCUGAAGCAAUUGAUAAACAAGAGGCUGAGGUCAGUGUGAAGGAAGAAUAAAUGAGGCCAGAUUGGAGAACGUUGAAAAGAGUGGAUUCCUUAUACAAGGAUGAGUUCCCCACCCUCCUUUGCCCUUCUGCCAUGGGAUGACAUAGCAAGAAGGCCCUCAUAAGACACUGGCCCCUCUAUCUUGGACUUCCCAGCCCCCAGAACGGUGAUGUCUGCUGGGACAAUGGCGCACAAGCAGAGGAGAUAUUCAUCAGCUGUACAUCUGCUGUUCCUUGCUGCCCCACAAGCCCAGAAUUCUGGUUGUCUUACAAUGUUCGGAGGUUCAGUGACAUGUGUGUUUCAUCUUUGAUUGGUAAGUGGGGGUGCUGACAGCCCUGAGAGGUCACAUUUUCCAUUCAAACCAGAACUUGUUUUGAAUGCAGAAAAAAAGGCAAUGGCAUUCUAAAAAAUGUGAAUGACCAGGGAAAUGGAUCAUAUAUCUUUUCUUACUUGUUAUAUUUCCCUGUAUUAGCUAAUCACAUAUGCUGAACAUGAAGACGUAGAAGAAAUGGGAAAUAUUGGGCAAUGUAUAGUUCUUUUUCCUUUCAGCCAUUCCUUGCUCAUCACUAAGCUGAAGAUAGAGUGUUGGUAGAAUGCUUACAUAUCAAGGAAUAAAAGCAAUUGAGCUGGUUGUGCAGUGUUUCCAAUAUUCUGGUAAGAACAAAAUGCAUAUGCAUGUACAAGCUGAAAUGUGAACUGGAUAAUUUCAGUGAUUCCACUAUAAAGUAAAUGCUCUUAUAUUUGCACUUAAAACUGGUAGUGCACAAUAUAAAAAUGAACAAUAAUAGUCAAGCUAAUAAAUUAAAUUUUCCAUUUUUAAAACUUAGAAUGACGUUAAAUAAAUGAAAAAAACCCACACCACAAGUUCGGAGACACACUACAGAAGAAAGGGAACAUCUUUAUAUUCUAGUACUUUAACAGCCCUUUUUAUUUCCAAGCUCCACAAAUUAUGUAGCUGUCCUGCUUCAAAAUCUGUCAUUCAUGUUGCAUUGUAACUUAUGAAAACCCACGCUUCUUCUUUAAAACUAUUGUCUCUGUUGUGAGUUCUUAAAGUUCAUUUUGAAAACUACAAAUCAAGAAUCGAUUCUUUUCUUUGUUUCUAAAUCUCUGCUGUGCUACCUCUGUACCCCAAGAAAAUGGACAGGAGUAUAGGAAAUGCAGGAAAGCCACAUUGGUUAAUACCUCAAAACACUACCCCCCUAUAUUAAAAACAAAAACAGAACAAAAUCUAGCAGCUAUAAAUUCCUUGAAGGCAGGGACUUUUUUUCUUCCUCCUGGGUUUACCACAGUGUUUUCCUUUUUUCUUGUAAUAAGGACCUAAUAGCUAUUUGUCCCUUUCCUCAACAAGUGUUUGUUCAAUUAAUUUUUUUGUUUUGUUUUGUUUUGUUUUGUUUUUUGAGACGGAGUCUUGCUCUAUAGCCCAGGCUGGAGUGCAGUGGCACAAUCCUGGCUCACUGCAACCUCCACCUCCUGGGUUCAAGCAAUUCUCCUGCCUCAGCUUCCUGUAGCUGGGAUUACAGGCAUCUGCCACCAACCAACCCCUGCUAAUUUUUCUUUUUCUUUUCUUUUUUUUCUUAAGAGACGGAGUCUCGCUCUGUUGCCCAGGCUGAAGUGCAGUGGCAUGAUCUCGGCUCACUGCAAGCUCCGCCUCCUGGGUUCACACCAUUCUCCUGCCUCAGCCUCCCGAGUAGCUGGGACUACAGGCGCCUGCCACCACAGUCGGCUAAUUUGUAUAUUUUUAGUAGAGACGGGGUUUCACCAUGUCAGCCAGGAUGGUCUCGAUCUCCUGACCUCGUGAUCUGCCCGCCUCGGCCUCCCAAAGUGCUGGGAUUACAGUCAUGAGCCACCACGCCCAGUCAUUUUUUUGGUAUUUUUAGUAGAGAUGGGGUUUCACCAUGUUGGCCAGGCUGGUUUCGAACUCCUGACCUCAAGUGAUCCGCCUGCUUCGUGCUCCCAAAGUGCUAGGAUUACAGGCGUGAGCCACUGUGACAGGCCUGUUCAAUUAAAUUUAAAACACUCUUCAUUUUGCUUUUCCAGUUCUCAACCACCACCAGAGGGUCCCUAUUGUCUUAUCCCAUAAAUUGAAACUCUUAACCAGGCAUCUAAUGCUCUAUAAUCUGGACUCAGUCUACUUUUCCAAAUACGUCUCCCAAGGCUCCCUGGAACUCAGUAAGUAAUUACUGAGCAAAGAUGGAAUGACUGAUCAACAGCUCCUAGGAGUUACAGAAACUGCAGCUGGAUAAAUCAUUAGACCUUUUAGGGUCAGGUUUAUGAAACAGAUGCAAGCUAACAUUAAGGCCCCAAUAUUGGGAGCUGGUGGUGAGUGUUACAGACCCUAGGCGAGAAUAGUAAGAAAUGCGAUUCCGAGAACAGUCAUCCCGGCAGGAUCAUAUUCUGGCUUCUGCAAGAUUCAGGGACCCAAAGUUUGCUGGAGAAUUGCCUGCAGCUGCUGCUAGUCCACCAGGAAAGGGUAUGAGCAGCUGGGCCUCACAACAGGGGCCUUCCUGUAGAGCUCCCUACCUGAGCUCAGGCAAGCUCCUACAUAUGAGAGUUUGAGGGCCAUGAAAUCCUAGCCAUUACUAAGGGUCAGAAUUUAGUAUACUGGUAAUAGCCCUUAAGAAAAGCUUCGGGCAGAGACUGGCUUUUAAAGCAGCAUAAUUCAAACAGGCGUUAUUCUGAGCGUACCUUUGUGGGAAACGAUUUUGUUUUUAACAUGCCUACUGGAGGGCUCAUAACCUAACAGGGCUGGGAGAAACUUCAAGAACCAUCUCAUCCAUUCCCCUGUCUUUAGCUAGAAAACCCUUAAAUUUUUUUUCAGAAAACUACCCAUGUAUCCCCAGCCUUUUGGUAACUCCAUUUGUUCAUCAAUCCUGAUUUCAGGGAGCUAUUUCUGAUAUUUAACCUAAUCUUCUUCGGCUCUCUUUUUUCAUCUCAUGCUUCUCAACUCUAAAUGGCCCUCGUGCCUACUGCUUGCUUAUUGACACAAAGUUGAUAUUAUAAUCACUGUUAUUGUUUUAUCCUUAUGGUUAUUAUUAGAACUGACAGCACAUUAAGAGGUGUACAAAGAUACAUAAGUAAAUAUAUGUUUAGAUCAGUAGUCUUACAACUUUGAAAAAUCCAGGACUGUUUGGGUGUUUUUUUUUUAGACGGAGUCUUGCUCUGUUGCCCAGGCUGGAGUGCAGUGGCGUGAUCUCAGCUCACUGCAAGCUCCGUCUCCUGGGUUCAUGCCAUUCUCCUGCCUCAGCCUCCCGAGUAGCUGGGACUACAGGUGCCUGCCACCACGUCCGGCUAAUUUUGUUUUUGUAUUUUUAUUAGAGACGGGGCUUCACCGUGUUAACCAGGAUGGUCUUGAUCUCCUGAUCUCGUGACCAGGUGAUCUGCCUGCCUCAGCCUCCCAAAGUGCUGGGAUUACAGGCCUGAGCCACUGCGCCCAGCCAAUUUUUGUAUUUUUAAUGCAGACAGUGUUUCACCAUGUUGGCAAGGCUGGUCUCAAACUCCUGACCUCAAGUGAUCUGCCCGCCUCGGCCUCCCAAAGUGCUAGGAUUACAGGCGUGAGCCACCGCACCUGAUCUGUUCGUAUGUUUUUAACUUGGAAAUGGGGAUGUGAGCAGAUACGAAUAGCAGAGUAGCAGGAUUGUUUUCUAUAUCUCAGACUGUGGCCCACUCCUCAACAGCCAUCACUCAUCUUGCACCCAGCCUGAGAAGAAAACAUAUAAUCGAUAAAUGUCUUUUAAACAUGCAAAAGGGGAGCAGGAAGGUGAUGGUGGAUGCUAUGAGGGUAGAAACCAUGGGGGCCUGGGGACUGCAUGAAAAUCUGCCUCAACCUCAUGUGAGAACUGGAAGAAAAUAUUUGUCAGAAGUGAAUUGUAACAAUACCUACCCUACCCUUCCCUCAAAGUGUCCCAGCUAAAAGCAGAAAUGAAAAACAAAGAGAUGUACCCUAUAGGAAAGACAUUCAAAGGCCUGGGGCUUACGUGAUCUUGUUCUGUUUACCUUUUUUAAAAAAUUCAUAAAACAUUUAAAAAAAUGUAUCCAUGUUGCAAAAUGUACACUUAGUGCAUUACUUCCAACAGCUGCAUGUUGUUCCAUGGCACCCAUUACCUCGUACUUACCCAUUGUGCUGGUGAUGUAUAUGCUAAGGUUGCCUUCAAUAUCUGGCUAGCUCAAGUGCUGCUGUGAUGAACACCUCAAUUGUGGUCACUUAAGGACCUGUGCAAGAGCUUCUUAGGGGUGCACAUUCCCAGGAGUGGAACUGCUGGGUCAUCGGGAAAAAUACAUUCUACCACAUUCUAUAUUUCAUUAAGUAUUGUUAGUUAAUGCUCCAAAAUGAUUGUACCAGGACUUAACUCCCAAUAACAAAGCAGGAGGAUUCAAAUUUCUUCCUAUCCUAGGCAACACUUGAUAUUACUAAACUUUCACGUUUGCCUAUUUAAUAGAUGUAAAUAAGUAUUUUGGUGUUUUUAUGUACAGUUAUCUGAUUAUAAGUGAGGUUGGAUAUCUCUUCAUCUACUUGUUAGUCUCUCAAGGUUCCCUUCUAUAAAUCUGCCUGUUCAUAUCCUUUGGCUAUUUUUCUAUUGCAUUUCUUUUUUUUCUCAGUUAUUUGUAGGAAUUCUUAAUACUGUAUAUUCUAGAUAUUAAUCUUUUGUUGGCUUCAGCCUUUGAAAAUACUUUCCAAUCUAUCAACUUUCUCUAAACUUGUUUAUGAUGUUUUUUGUUGAACAGAACAGUUUAAAAUUUUGAUGUCAUCAAGUUCAUCUUUUUUUGAUUUUAUAGUUUAUGCUUUGAGUCUUGUUUAAAUGCUUUUCUUCUUUUUUCUACCCUAAGAUUACAAAGCUAUUCUUCUAUUUUUAAUUUCUAUUAGUUUUACCUUUUACUUUUAGGUUUUUUUUUGUUGUUGUUGUUGCUAAUGUAGAGCUCACCUUUGCAUAUGGUAUGAGAUAGGGGUUUAAUUUUAUAUUUUUCUCACAGUGAAUCAAUUUCCCCAACAUUAUCUAUGAAACCAAAUCUCUGUGUUAGAUUGGAUUAUUGUUCCCAAUCCUUCUUGUUCUCCUGGCUCUACAAUUAUACACCUGUGCCUUUUGGCAUGAAGUUUUGCAUUACCUUCCACUAUUGAUGUUCAACUUGGCCAUAUGACUUGUUUGGCCAAUGGAAUGUUGGUGAAUAUGAUGAGAGGAGAGGUGUUAAAUGUAUUUGAAUGAUUUGGCUUGACCUCUUGCCAGAAGGAGACAUGUGGUGAAGACUUGAAUCUGACCUGCAUCCUGGAGCCAAGUCCAGCUGAAUUCAGCUGAACCCAACCAAGUCUUAAGGAGCCCAGAUGAGAUGAGCUGAAUCUCAGUUCAUAUACAGACCCAUAAGGGAGAAAAAUAAAUGACUACCAUAAGCCACUGAUAAGUUGGGAUUAUCUGUUACAUAAUAUUAUUAUUGCAGCAAGCAAUAGCUGACUAACUCAACAUGAUUUCCUCAUGGAUUUGUGGUGUUACCAUGAUCACAUAUCAGAUUCUCUUAUGUAAAUGGGUUGUUUCUGAGUUCUCUAUUCUGUUUCAUGGUUCUGUAUGUCUGCUACUAUAAAAAAUGACCGACUUAUAAAGAAAUUUAGUCUUCCAUGUGCAUUUUAGAAUACGUUUAAAUUCCCCAAAUCUUGCUACAAGUUUGGUUUGCAUUGAAUUUAUAAACACAUUUAGAGAUAAUUGAGAUCUUAAUAACGUUACAUCAUCUUAUCCAUAAACAUUAUAUAUACCUCUAUUUGGGUUUCCUUUGAAUUCCUUCAAUAAAUUCAAAUAUGUUAAUUCCUGGAUACUUUAUAGUUUUGUUGCUUUUAUAAAUAGUAUCUUAUUUUCUAGUUUGUUAGUGUAAGUGUGAAUGAAUACUUUCAG